CCUACGGGAGGCUGCAGUGGGGAAUAUUGGACAAUGGGGGCAACCCUGAUCCAGCCAUGCCGCGUGUGUGAAGAAGGCCCUCGGGUUGUAAAGCACUUUCAGUGAGGAAGAACGCCUGGUGGUUAAUACCCAUCAGGAAAGACAUCACUCACAGAAGAAGCACCGGCUAACUCCGUGCCAGCAGCCGCGGUAAUACGGAGGGUGCGAGCGUUAAUCGGAAUUACUGGGCGUAAAGCGCGCGUAGGUGGCUUGAUAAGCCGGUUGUGAAAGCCCCGGGCUCAACCUGGGAACGGCAGCCGGAACUGUCAAGCUAGAGUGCAGGAGAGGAAGGUAGAAUUCCCGGUGUAGCGGUGAAAUGCGUAGAGAUCGGGAGGAAUACCAGUGGCGAAGGCGGCCUUCUGGACUGACACUGACACUGAGGUGCGAAAGCGUGGGUAGCAAACAGGAUUAGAUACCCUAGUAGUC
This 465-nucleotide ribosomal RNA is filed under the name Vreelandella stevensii. Its description in RNAcentral is "partial 16S ribosomal RNA". It matches the Rfam family "Bacterial small subunit ribosomal RNA", at positions 338 to 795 of the family's 1533-position model. Lineage: Bacteria; Pseudomonadati; Pseudomonadota; Gammaproteobacteria; Oceanospirillales; Halomonadaceae. The record is from RNAcentral.